This 1520-nucleotide non-coding RNA is filed under the name Nocardiopsis sp. NRRL B-16309. RNAcentral describes it as "Bacterial large subunit ribosomal RNA". It matches the Rfam family "Bacterial large subunit ribosomal RNA", at positions 1432 to 2925 of the family's 2925-position model. Lineage: Bacteria; Bacillati; Actinomycetota; Actinomycetes; Streptosporangiales; Nocardiopsidaceae. The record is from Rfam by way of RNAcentral.
GCUGGUCUGGGAACCGAUGUUGUAGUAGGUAAGUGAUGGGGUGACGCAGGAGGGUAGCUCUACCCGGCGGUGGUUGUCCGGGGGUAAGCGUGUAGGCCGGUGUGUUGGCAAAUCCGCACACCGUGUGGCUGAGACGUGAUGCCGAGCCGUUUUUGGUGAAGUGAGUGAUCCCAUGCUGUCGAGAAAAGCCUCUAGCGAGUUCGUGUGUGGCCAGUACCCUAAACCGACGCAGGUGGUCAGGUAGAGAAUACCGAGGCGUUCGGGUGAACCAUGGUUAAGGAACUCGGCAAAUUGUCCCCGUAACUUUGGGAGAAGGGGAGCCCUGUCUGGUGAUGGACCUUUGCGUCUUGAGCUGGGUGGGGUCGCAGAUAGCGGGGGGAAGCGACUGUUUAUUAAAAACACAGGUCCGUGCGAAGUCGUAAGACGCUGUAUACGGACUGACGCCUGCCCGGUGCUGGAACGUUAAGAGGACUGGUUAGUGGGUUUCGGCCUGCGAAGCUGGGAAUCUAAGCGCCAGUAAACGGCGGUGGUAACUAUAACCAUCCUAAGGUAGCGAAAUUCCUUGUCGGGUAAGUUCCGACCUGCACGAAUGGCGUAACGACUUCCCCACUGUCUCAACCAUGGGCCCGGUGAAAUUGCACUACGAGUAAAGAUGCUCGUUUCGCGCAGCAGGACGGAAAGACCCCGGGACCUUCACUAUAGCUUGACAUUGGUGUUUGGGAUGGUUUGUGUAGGAUAGGUGGGAGCCUGUGAGACUGUCACGCUAGUGGCGGUGGAGGCGUUGGUGAAAUACCACUCUGACUGUUUCGGGCAUCUAACUUUGGACCGUGAUCCGGUUCGGGGACAGUGUCUGGUGGGUAGUUUAACUGGGGCGGUUGCCUCCCAAAGAGUAACGGAGGCGCCCAAAGGUUCCCUCAGCCUGGUUGGUAAUCAGGUGUUGAGUGUAAGUGCACAAGGGAGCUUGACUGUGAGACGGACGUGUCGAGCAGGAGCGAAAGCUGGGACUAGUGAUCCGGCACCGGCGUGUGGAAGCGGUGUCGCUCAACGGCUAAAAGGUACCCCGGGGAUAACAGGCUGAUCUUCCCCAAGAGUCCAUAUCGACGGGAUGGUUUGGCACCUCGAUGUCGGCUCGUCGCAUCCUGGGGCUGGAGUUGGUCCCAAGGGUUGGGCUGUUCGCCCAUUAAAGCGGCACGCGAGCUGGGUUUAGAACGUCGUGAGACAGUUCGGUCCCUAUCCGCUGUGCGCGUUGGAGACUUGAGAAGGGCUGUCCCUAGUACGAGAGGACCGGGACGGACGAACCUCUGGUGUGCCAGUUGUCCUGCCAAGGGCAUGGCUGGUUUGCUACGUUCGGGAGGGAUAACCGCUGAAAGCAUCUAAGCGGGAAGCUUGCUUCGAGAUGAGGUCUCCUGCCUCCUUUGAGAGGGUAAGGCUCCCUGUAGACGACGGGGUUGAUAGGCCGGGUGUGGAAGCCCUGUGAGGGGUGGAGCUGACCGGUACUAAUAGGCCGAGGGCUUGUCCGC